GACGAACGCUGGCGGCGUGCCUAAUACAUGCAAGUAGAACGCUGAAGGAGGAGCUUGCUUCUCUGGAUGAGUUGCGAACGGGUGAGUAACGCGUAGGUAACCUGCCUGGUAGCGGGGGAUAACUAUUGGAAACGAUAGCUAAUACCGCAUAAUAGUAGAUGUUGCAUGACAUUUGCUUAAAAGUUGCAAUUGCAUCACUACCAGAUGGACCUGCGUUGUAUUAGCUAGUUGGUGAGGUAACGGCUCACCAAGGCAACGAUACAUAGCCGACCUGAGAGGGGGGUCGGCCAAACUGGGACUGAGACACGGCCCAGACUCCUACGGGAGGCAGCAGUAGGGAAUCUUCGGCAAUGGACGGAAGUCUGACCGAGCAACGCCGCGUGAGUGAAGAAGGUUGUCGGAUCGUAAAGCUCUGUUGUAAGAGAAGAACGAGUGUGAGAGUGGAAAGUUCACACUGUGACGGUAUCUUACCAGAAAGGGACGGCUAACUACGUG
This 495-nucleotide ribosomal RNA is filed under the name uncultured bacterium. Its description in RNAcentral is "partial 16S ribosomal RNA". It matches the Rfam family "Bacterial small subunit ribosomal RNA", at positions 28 to 507 of the family's 1533-position model. The record is from RNAcentral.